AAGCGGCAACAGCUCAAAUUUGAAAUCUGGCCCUUGGGCCCGAGCUGCAAUUUGCAGAGGAUGCUUUUGGCGAGGCGCCUUCCGAGCUCCCUGGAACGGGACGCCAUAGAGGGCGAGAGCCCCGUCUGGCCGGACACCGAGCCUCUGUAAAGCUCCUUCGACGAGUCGAGUAGCUUGGGAAUGCUGCUCAAAAUGGGAGGUAUAUGUCUUCUAAAGCUAAAUAUUGGCCAGAGACCGAUAGCGCACAAGUAGAGUGAUCGAAAGAUGAAAAGCACUUUGAAAAGAGGGUUAAAAAGUACGUGAAAUUGUUGAAAGGGAAGCGCCUAUGACCAGACUUGGGCCCGGUGAAUCAUCCAGCGUUCUCGCUGGUGCACUUUGCCGGGCACAGGCCAGCAUCAGUUUGGCGCGGGGGAAAAAGGCUUUGGGAAUGUGGCUCCUCGGGGAGUGUUAUAGCCCAUUGUGUAAUACCCUGCGCCGGACUGAGGUACGCGCAUUGCAAGGAUGCUGGCUAUGGUCAUCAGC
RNAcentral lists this ribosomal RNA (522 nucleotides) under Akanthomyces lecanii. RNAcentral describes it as "partial large subunit ribosomal RNA". It matches the Rfam family "Eukaryotic large subunit ribosomal RNA", at positions 96 to 645 of the family's 3401-position model. Lineage: Eukaryota; Fungi; Ascomycota; Sordariomycetes; Hypocreales; Cordycipitaceae. The record is from RNAcentral.